RNAcentral lists this ribosomal RNA (497 nucleotides) under uncultured bacterium. Its description in RNAcentral is "partial 16S ribosomal RNA". It matches the Rfam family "Bacterial small subunit ribosomal RNA", at positions 28 to 507 of the family's 1533-position model. The record is from RNAcentral.
GAUGAACGCUGGCGGCGUGCUUAAUACAUGCAAGUCGAGCGAACGGACGAGAAGCUUGCUUCUCUGAUGUUAGCGGCGGACGGGUGAGUAACACGUGGAUAACCUACCUAUAAGACUGGGAUAACUUCGGGAAACCGUAGCUAAUACCGGAUAAUAUUUUGAACCGCAUGGUUCAAAAGUGAAAGACGGUCUUGCUGUCACUUAUAGAUGGAUCCGCGCUGCAUUAGCUAGUUGGUAAGGUAACGGCUUACCAAGGCAACGAUGCAUAGCCGACCUGAGAGGGUGACCGGCCACACUGGAACUGAGACACGGUCCAGACUCCUACGGGAGGCAGCAGUGGGGAAUCUUCCGCAAUGGGCGAAAGCCUGACGGAGCAACGCCGCGUGAGUGAUGAAGGUCUUCGGAUCGUAAAACUCUGUUAUUAGGGAAGAACAUAUGUGUAAGUAACUGUGCACAUCUUGACGGUACCUAAUCAGAAAGCCACGGCUAACUACGUG